RNAcentral lists this ribosomal RNA (462 nucleotides) under uncultured bacterium. RNAcentral's name for it is "partial 16S ribosomal RNA". It matches the Rfam family "Bacterial small subunit ribosomal RNA", at positions 29 to 507 of the family's 1533-position model. The record is from RNAcentral.
AGUGAACGCUGGCGGCGUGCCUAAUACAUGCAAGUCGAACGGAGAUUCAGUAGCUUGCUAUUUAAUCUUAGUGGCGCACGGGUGAGUAAUAUAUAGCUAACUUGCCCAUUACUAGGGGACAACAGUUGGAAACGACUGCUAAUACCUUAUACUCCGUAUCUAUAUAAGUAGAUACGGGAAAGUUUUUCGGUAAUGGAUAGGGCUAUAUCGUAUCAGCUAGUUGGUAAGGUAAUGGCUUACCAAGGCUAUGACGCGUAACUGGUCUGAGAGGAUGAUCAGUCACACUGGAACUGAGACACGGUCCAGACUCCUACGGGAGGCAGCAGUAGGGAAUAUUGCUCAAUGGGGGAAACCCUGAAGCAGCAACGCCGCGUGGAGGAUGACAAUUUUCGGAGCGUAAACUCCUUUUCUUGGGAAAGAAUUAUGACGGUACCCAAGGAAUAAGCACCGGCUAACUCCGUG